CUCCAGGUGAUUAACAACAGAAAUUUUGAUAGCCAAUCAGAAUCCACCUGACCAGCUUGAGCAUUUAAAGAGGCAGACGACAAAACCUCAGCGCAUGCAGAAGGUUAUCAUAUGUUGGUGUAGAUGCUAAUAUUGUUAUAGUUAUCUUUUUCAUUAUCGUUCUUGGUGUGAAUGGGCCUUUAGAUAGGGAGAAAAGGAAUAAUCUGUCUGUGUGUGUAUGCAGGAGUAUCUCAGUGUGACCCUAGAAUCCGUCCUGGCCAAGAAAAUCACAGAAGCGUCACUGAUGAGUAGUGAUUUAAUUACAGUAGUGCAAGGUGUCCUUCUUUCUACCUGCCUUCCGGGUGAUCUCUCCCUCUCUCUAUCGUUCCUUCUUACUCUCUUUUUCUGGGACAAUAGGGGACUGGAGGUGGAGGCCAGGAACUCUAAAACUACUUCUGGUACCUCAGGGCUCAAUGUUUAGGGUGGCUUUGUCUUCCAAAAGUAGGGAAUGUUCUUUCCCUCUGACCACAAUAUGGACGUGAACUCCGGAAAAGACACUGUCACUGCCAUGGAGACAUUCUGGAACUGUUGCCUUGGAAACAGUAAUCAUGGUUUGAGCGAGGGGUGAAAUGGAAGAGUUUUUUGAGGGUGGAAGAGUGUGAUCCUCUCCACCUUGUUUUUAGAGCUGCAACUGAGUCAAAGAUUAGGCAGAGAUGGAGACCCAAUCUUGCUUCCGCCUCAGCUGUUUCCGAAGGAAGACAAACACGCCCCACGCCAAUAAAACCGCAGCGCGAUGCUCCCCCAAUGUCACCGAACGGAUGAACUUUGCGGGGAGCCGCAGAACCCUCACCAGCUCCCCACAGUUCCGGCUGUGGAUCCAGCAUGUAAUAGAAGAUGGUGAGAAUUCAAUAAUCAUCAGAGUCCUCAUCUCCACAUGCUCUACUGAACAGGAAAAUAAUUACAUUUCUUUCACUUUUUUUGUCUCAGAUAAAUUAUGGAUCCCUUAUCUGGCUCCAAGGAUAAACGAAUCUGAUUCACGGGCCAAUUAACUAGCAUUCUUGCACCUCGAUGGAGCGUGCUCAGUGUCUCAUGAAUGAGUGGCAUGCGCCGAGAACAGCACGAGAAGAAGCAUGUGGCUUUUAUGCGAUUCUCAUAACACAUUCUCUAUCAAACACAACAGGUUUCCUUGCACAUAUUUCUAGUUUAUGAUUCUACGAUGUAUAAUAUAUCGCCCAAUCGAUGUUCAACACCAUCUGUAUUCUGGUUCUAAAAAAAUGGUUUCUUUCAUAGCUUCUUACAAUCGAGGAUACUCUGAACCCCAUCCCCCCCCACCACUCUUACUCAUCGUACACCUGACUCACCUCCAACCUCACACUGCAGAGAGGCUUUGGAUGAAGCGUAAUGAUGGUCAGGCAGAGCGGCUCUGAGACGCAGGAGGGUUGUGUUCUGAGGGGCACUCUCUUUUGUUGUGUGGUGCUCUGAAGCGGGCUGCGUUUGGUCUCCUCAAAAUGCCACAGGUUAUUGUGUUUCUACUUAAAGGGGAGUCGUGGGGAGUCGUGGCCUAAUGGUUAGAGAGUCGGACUCCCAAUCGAAGGGUUGUGAGUUCGAGUCUCGGGCCGGCAGGAAUUGUGGGUGGGGGGAGUGCAUGUACAGUUCUCUCUCCACCUUCAAUACCACGACUUAGGUGCCCUUGAGCAAGGCAUCGAACCCCCAACUGCUCCCCGGGCGCCGCAGCAUAAAAUGGCUGCCCACUGCUCCGGGUGUGUGUUCACAGUGUGUGUGUGUGUUCACUGCUCUGUGUGUGUGCACUUCGGAUGGGUUAAAUGCAGAGCACUAAUUCUGAGUAUGGGUCACCAUACUUGGCUGAAUGUCACGUCACUCACUUUCACUCACUAAAGUGUUCUUACAGGAGACAUUUGGAAUGCUGUCAGCUCUGGGGCUGAGCUGGGGAAAAGGUGGGGGGAUUAAAAGGUGCUGUUGUGCUGUUCCUGUGAGCUUUAAGACUGUAAACUUUUUUUUUUUAAAUGUAUCAUACGUAUUUCAUAGUUCUUGUGUGAUAACACAGAGAGAGGAAAUUUUAUUAUUUAGAGCAAUAUUUGUUUUUCUACUUUCAUUUCACACUCAUGUACACCUACAUUAGGUUGGUGUAAAGAGAGAGAAAUUGUUUGUUAAAACACCUCAUAAGAACUUCCUUUAGUGCCCAACUUUGUAACAUUAGGAUAUGGUUUAAAAUCACACAAACAUAAGAGUGUAUAUACUGUAAUGAUCUACCCUCACAGUCUUUCAACUACCAGAGACUCUGCUUAUUCUAGACUGAAGCACUAGGAUGUGGCCACUGAUAGUGUCAUUUACUUGCACUUGCUGUCUGCAAUGUUUUCUAUGGAAGCUUGUUUCCAUCUCAAGAGUAUAAAAAGGUAAUUGCCUUAUAUCUACAAAUGUGGUAACUUUUUAUUCAACAAUUGCAGAUAUAUACAGUAUAUAACAGAAUACACUCUAUUUGGAUUUUACUAUGUGUGUAUGUGUAUGUGUGUGUACAGUAUAUAUAUAUAUAUAUAUAUAUAUAUACACUACUGGUCAAAAGUCUGGAAUGAUUAAAAUUUCUUUAAUGUUGAAAGACGUCUACGUUUAUUUGAUCAAAAAUCCAAUAAAAACAGUGAUAUUGUGAAACAUUACAAUUUUAAGUAGUAGUACUGUUUUUAAUGGUGAUAAAAGAAAUGUUAGUUGAGCACAAAAUCAACAUAUUAGAAUGAUUUCUGAAGGAUAAUGUGACAUUGAAGAAUUGAGUAAUGGCUGCUGAAAAUUCAGUUUCACCAUUACAAGAAUAAAUUACAUUUUAAAAUAUAUUCAAAAUAUUUAUUUUAAAUUGGAAUAAUAUUUCACAAUGUUACUGUUUUUACUGUAUUUUGACCAAAUAAAUCCUUAUGCUUGGUGGGUGUUGGUUUCCUGUGGAUCAGGCUUUACUGUUGUGGAAGUCACCAGCCCUACUCCAGACCCAAUGCCCAGCUAGUCGUCACCACCCCACUGCACGGCGCAUUUGCCUGAGCCCUCUGUGAUGGAAGAGCCAUCGUAAGAAGAAGCGACUGAGCCUGCAAUCGUCCUCACAGCAUCUGACCAGUUUUGUGAGCUGGCAAUGCAGCACAUGCCAGAGGGAAUUCUCAUGGAAUUUGAGGGUAUGGAUUGAACCCCACCCACCCUCCAGCCACUGAGAGUGAAUGUUUACUGAACUUGGACACUGUUUAUCAGUUUGGAGAGAUAGAGACUUUGCUUCCCCUAAGCCUUCAUAAUUCUGUUAAUUUGUCUGAUUUGCUGGUCCUGCCCAGCCUCGCUCUCCAAGCUGCUUUAAGAGACUUUUUAUUUUUGUUUGGAUUUUGUGCAUUUUUUUCUUCUUUCUCCUCAGUCCUCAGCCACUCCUGCUGUCCAGUCAUCUUCGUCUCCCUUCAGUCCCUCUAUGGCCUGGUCCCAAGUUGCACCCUAAACACACACUUUCGUGACGUAAUGCCGCUUUGAAUGGCCAUUUGACAUUGGUCAGUCGACUCGACUUGGUUUUCCUCUUGCACCAUUUCCAUUCAUUGAGUUAAUUGUGUCAUUCUGUUCAGGUGUGUGUCAUUUAAAUAGUCUAGUCUGCUUGUGUAUGGGUAUCGUCAGUGUUAUGUGUGUUGCAAGCCUUCCCUUUCUUUGGAGUUACCUUCUGUGGAUUUAUUAAAGACUGCCUAUCUUCAUCAUCGUGUUCAUGUGUGUUUAUCAACACAGUAGUGUGACAGAUUAUUGUCAAGCAUGCCAACUGAGAGUGGGAUUCACAGAGGAAUCAUUAAAUGCUACUAGGAAAUCUGCUUACAAACAAGGUACAUUCUAUAUGUACUUAGGUGGUCACUUUGUUGGUGUUCAGCAUCUGUGUGUUUGUGUAAUCACUCUAGGAAAUGGAAGUUCAAAGUGUACUGGUGAUAAAUAGAAUAAACAUGGGAUCCUCAUAGGGAAAAAUCCAAUGAAUUUCAAUAUCACUGUACUUCUGUAAGAAUCAUUGAACGCUAUUGAUUCUGGAUACCCUAAGAAUCCCUCCAGUGGAGAUGGGAAAACUUUGAAUAAUUUAAGCCUGGAUGGAGAACUUCAAUGAUUUAACUAGCCCUUCCUUAAAAAUGCAACUUCUGGAUCCUUUCAAAAAAAUUUGUAGGAUUUUGGCUGAUACACAUCUUUAUCUUUCUGUCUUGCUCUCUUUUUCAGUAAAGGUCUUGUAAACAGAUAAAUGGUAAUCUUAGUCACAUCAUUAUAAUAAAAAUUGCUUUUCAAUCAGAGAUGCUUCACAUUUCUCAGGCAAAGCACGCAGUGUUGGGCACAAGUCUUCCUGACAGACAGAUUCAGAUCCAGGCAGAGCUCUAGGGACGAAAGGAUAGAGAAGCUCACUUAAACACAGCUAAUAAAAUCAAAUCCAUCUGCACUUCAGCUCACACGACGGGAAGGCUAAAGGGAUAUAAGUACAACUUUCAUUUAGUUAAUUUUCACUGUCAGAUUACACAAGGAGGUCGAAGAGAGAAAGACAGAGAGAGGAACAACAAGAUGGCUUGUAUCGCUCUUUCAUCUGGAUGUUGAGGAAGAUGGAAGGAUUAGAAACCGUCUGGUAUAAGAGGAUUUAGUUACCUUUCCUUACAGCCUCUGCUUUGAUUUCUCACACUAAAGAGAACAGAAGUGGUUCCUGUCUAGCUAACUGCUCAUUAAUGAAUAUUUCCCCCUCUUCAGGGUCUUGCCUUCCUUUUUGCUCAGUCUGACAGUUGCUGAUAUAACAUCACAAGUCGACAAAGUUGUCAUAAAACACAUCACCACCCUGCUGACAAAAUCAGUCCAGGCUGAUGACUAGUGAGUGAAACCAGCCCGAUCUCACGGCAAUUCGUACAUAUUUUACGAGGUGGCUAAUUCGUACGAAUUCGUACGACCACACUCGUACAAAUUCAUACGAUUUUUGCCAAAUCGUACGUAUUUUAGGAGUUGCACAUUCGUAUGAAUUUGUACGAAUGACCUACACCUAACCCCGCCCCUAAACUUAACCGUUACUGGGGUCUAGCCAAAUCGUAUGAAAUCGUACGAGUGAGGUCGUACGAAUUCGUACGAAUUAGCCACCUCGUAAAAUAUGUACGAAUUGGCGUGAGAUAGCGUUGGUGAAACUGGUCAAACAUAGUCAUUCUUGUGUACUUGACGUAACCAGUCAAAGACUACACUGAUUAACAGUAAGUCUUACAGCUGUAUAUGUUUUGUUCACUAAAAAGGAUCAGCUAAUAAGAGUUAUUCAUUCAAGAAUCAGACUACACUGAUUG
Long non-coding RNA from Cyprinus carpio carpio, 5282 nucleotides. The record is from Ensembl. Lineage: Eukaryota; Metazoa; Chordata; Actinopteri; Cypriniformes; Cyprinidae.